RNAcentral lists this long non-coding RNA (274 nucleotides) under Physcomitrium patens. Its description in RNAcentral is "long non-coding RNA (PPAT_LNC014999)". The record is from RNAcentral. Lineage: Eukaryota; Viridiplantae; Streptophyta; Bryopsida; Funariales; Funariaceae.
UAGUGGCAUUGCCAAAGUAAUUGACAAAGAUUACUUUGUCUUACAUACUUUCUCUAAAACUAAGUAAUUACAUGAACUUCAACUAAGGAGUUGUUUGAUAAGGAUGUGGUAGAUUCUUAGUAGAUUCUUUGGAUUAUAACAUGAGGAUAAGUAUUUGAAAAACAUCAUCCUUAAGACCAAGUUGACUUGGUGGUUGAGAUUACCAUAAGUUUCCAUAGACAAUUUGGAUUAGUAGUAGCUUGAUUUGCAUGUAUUUAUUGGUAAUAAUUUGUAU